UGAGGAAUAUUGGUCAAUGGGCGGAAGCCUGAACCAGCCAUCCCGCGUGAAGGAAGACAGCCUUACGGGUUGUAAACUUCUUUUCUGUCAGAAGAAUAAGCUUGUCGAGACGAGUGAUGCCGGUAUGACAGGAAUAAGCAUCGGCUAACUCCGUGCCAGCAGCCGCGGUAAUACGGAGGAUGCAAGCGUUAUCCGGAUUUAUUGGGUUUAAAGGGUGCGCAGGUUGUUUGAUAAGUCAGUGGUGAAAGUCUGUCGCUUAACGGUAGGAUUGCCAUUGAUACUGUUGGACUUGAAUAUGGAUGAGGUAGGCGGAAUGUGUAGUGUAGCGGUGAAAUGCAUAGAUAUUACACAGAACACCGAUUGCGAAGGCAGCUUACAAUCCAUCAUUGACGCUGAGGCA
This 400-nucleotide ribosomal RNA is filed under the name uncultured bacterium. Its description in RNAcentral is "bacterial SSU rRNA". It matches the Rfam family "Bacterial small subunit ribosomal RNA", at positions 355 to 753 of the family's 1533-position model. The record is from RNAcentral.